Gambusia affinis (western mosquitofish) is the source of this 396-nucleotide long non-coding RNA. RefSeq lists it as uncharacterized. The record is from RefSeq and is a predicted model, not a curated record. The transcript has 3 exons. NCBI's taxonomy places the organism in Eukaryota, Metazoa, Chordata, Actinopteri, Cyprinodontiformes, Poeciliidae.
CUUCUUACAUGUAAAGUUGAUUGACCACUCAGCCGUCCUUAACGGCCCGCAUUGAUCGCGUCAGGGCCGUUCCCAUCUCAUCACUGAAGAGUCGUUGGAAGACCAUUGUCUACUCCACUGAAACUGAGCUGAAAAGAAGGAAAGAAGUUCCAGUUGCAAAAUCAACCUCCACCAACUUCUCACAUGUAAAGUUGAUUGACCACUCAGCCGUCCUUAACGGCCCGCAUUGAUCGCGUCAGGGCCGUUCCCAUCUCAUCACUGAAGAGUCGUUGGAAGACCAUUGUCUACUCCACUGAAACAGAGCUGAAAAGAAGGAAAGAAGUUCCAGUUGCAAAAUCAACCUCCACCAACUUCUCACAUAUAAAGUUGAUUGACCACUCAGCCGUCCUUAACGGC